Molecule: long non-coding RNA, 3465 nt
Filed under: Homo sapiens (human)
Lineage: Eukaryota; Metazoa; Chordata; Mammalia; Primates; Hominidae
Description: HSALNT0119063
Source: RNAcentral
CUUUUCUAUAAAGGACCCAACUUGAAAGGGAAAUUUUGCUGACAGUGAGAGUUUGAGUUUCAGUCCCUAAAGCCAGGGGCAAGUUUUUCAAGAGACCCAUACUGCAAGGCCACAUUGUGGACUAUGUAACUUCAGCUAAUUUCUUGGAAAUCAAUCAAAGCAUAUGGACUAUAUUUUAAUUCUACAGACAUUGCGUUAGGCAGAACAGCUACCAACACCCAAUCCCUGAAAUUUGUGAUUAUGUUUUGAUACAUGGCAAAAGGAACUAUGCAGAUGUAAUUAAGGUUAAGAACUUUAAAAUAGGAAGAUUAAAUCCAAGGAGUUCUUCAAAGUAAAGAACUACUACAUGCAGAAGAUUGGGAAGAAAUAACAGAGAGUGCUUGAAGAAUAGAUGUGGCUAGGACAAUAUCUCUGAAUCUCUGAAUGGCCCAUGGUGGUGACCCCCAGCCAGAGUGAACUGUGCAGCAGCAAUGGUGCCCAGUGGGCAGCAACAGUGGAACAGAAGAAAAACCAUAAGCAACCUCUCUGAACUGAUGUUACAUAUAACAUGAAGAUUGUGUAUAUCACCUUAGAGCCAUGCAACUAAGAACAACAUGAGUCUGGUGACACAGAUCCAAUCUGAGGGGAGCUAGCUGGACAUGGCUGUAUGGUGAAUUUUUAAAAAGAAAAAAAAAAAGUAAGCACUUAGUUCAGUUCAUUUCUUUUUAUCUUAAAUAGCACAAAAUUAUCCUUUUGUCAUUUAAUUCACAGUGGUAUCUAGAAAUCAGUGAUGGAAAAGAUCAAUUAGGUCAUUUAGCUCCUUUCCAAGGUUCCAAUUUUCUCUUUCAGCAUAUUAACUUUUGCCUGUCCAAAUUUAAGUGACUAAAGAGAUGGGUUUCCACAACUUACUUGGGAGAUAUUUCUAAAUCAAAUUUAUCUGUACCAAAGCAUCGUUAAAGACUUUGCUAUUAGAGUUAUACUAAAUUGUUCUCUGCUUAAUUGCAUCUCAUUUUUCCUUCAUUCCUCUUGGCUACUCAAAGCAAACUUUGUUUUUCUUUGAAUAGAUUUAUUUUAGACCAGCUCAUCCUCAUAUAUUAUUGACAAAGAAUAUAUCAUUAAUUGUUUCUGUUCAUUACAUGAAUUGUUGCUUAAAUAUUUUUGUUCUUUUGCUCAGAAACCACAGUGGAAAGGAGGCCACUUUGUAUUAAAAAUAACAAUAUUUCAUAGGAAAUUCUCUUAAAUUCAUCAAGGGAUCCAGUGGCUGUGCAUAACCUUUUCUAGCUUCAACCCAUCGAACAUGAAUGCCAUGUGUUGAGGAUGCAGAAACAAUCAAGACAGACAAGGUUCUAGCCACCCUUGAGCUAUAACCAAGUUGGAGAAAAAAGUCAGCAUGCAAGUAAACAAUAAUCAUUCAAGCUAUAUAGGUUGUGCCUCAUGAAACAAAAGGACUUUGUAUGUGAGAGAGUAAUGGAAACCAGGCACAGCUUUUAAGAGAUGAUGUCUAGAAUGGGACCUAAAGAAGAAGGAGCUCUCCAUGCAAAAAUAUAAGAAAAGCCCAUUCUAAGCGAGAGACAUCAGGAAGGACAAAGGAACCGAGGCAGGAAAGAGUUUGGUGUCUUUUAGGAAUAGAUGAGAAUCCAAUCUUGGGCUAAUGAAGCAACACAAGAUUCGCAACAGCAGGGAGUUGCUACUAUCUUUAGCUUGAAGGAGAAAAAGGAGGAGGUUGUAUUACCAGAGCCCAGGGGUGGAGUGACCCAGCAUAACAUAGAAUCUUAGUUGGUAUAUUCAAGAGAAGUUGGAUCCAAAGAAGAGAUACAGCCAUUAUUAGAGAUGCUGCCCCAGAGGGAGAAGGAGAGAUACCUUGAAAAUUUCCCUUAAUCCCUCCAUUCGUUAUAUCACCAAUGACUUCCAGUGACUGAACCAAAUCAGAUGCCAGAUGACACAAUAGCCUAGCAAAUGCAGUCUAAGAAUUCAAUCUCCAACACACCCAGUAGAAAGAGCAAAGGGUAAGAAAUUGACUUGAGAGCAAGUUGGCUCAGAACAGUAGACCCUUAAAUUCAUUAAGGGUCAACUACUUUAAUACUUUGGGAAAAUAAUCCCACUAUGCAGGGAAAGAGGAUGAAUUUUAAAAUGUCAUAUUUUAGGUAUAUAAAGAAAAAUCCUGCCUGACCCUGAUAUAAAGAAAUGAAGAUAUUAGAAAAAAGUGUUGGCUCUACAUGUCCAGGUACUACUGAUCACGACAGCACUUACAGGCUCUAAAUGGUUAACUUCCUGAAAAGUGGCUGUUAUAUGGAAAACCAUAAAACAAUCAUUGGUGAUCCUUGUUUCUAUUUAAAAAAACAUGCUCUUAGGUUCAAGUAGACUGACCCACUUUAGGACUAUCUAUCCCUAGGGAUCUUGUAAAAUGCAGAGAAUGAGAAAAACCUUUAGAAGAUGCUAAACUCUCCGCUUUUAAGCUAACUAGCAUGUUGAACAAUUUAUUUGUACAAUAUGAGAUAUGACCAUAUUGCAUCUCAUCUUAUGGAAUUACUCAAGUUAUAUACAAUUUUCUCAAGUGCUAUUGCUAGUCUGGAUGUAGGAGUGAAGAGAAUAAAUUGAGGGCUUGAUCUAUGUUUGGGGUUUUCAGAGAAGACAUAGAAAUGAAAGAAGAACAGAUUGGUUGAGAAUAUAAUCAAGUGAUUAUGGGUUCUGUAUUGAGCAGAUAAUUUAGUCCAAGAAGAUGCUUAUAGUUAUGAAAGAAAAUUCAGGAUCAAGUACAUGAGGUCUAUAGAAGGUCAAACAGUAGUUAAGAAGGAGUGAAGAAGUGUGAGAGCUAAAGGAUGUAAAGUAGAAGUCAGAAAGUGAGGGCAAUGAGGCAUUCUAGUGCAUGAAUGUGACAGGGAGCAGCUGAAGAGAAUGGAAGUGAUAGUUCUAGUUCAACGGUUCCAGGAACUGCCAUGUUAGGGAGUUAGAAAGUUGCCCACAUGGAUUUGAAAUUUGUCCUUAAUUUAUUCAUCAAAUGUAGUUAGUGCUAUUAUGUCUAUUGUUCAACGUUGCUGAGUAACAAACAACCUCAAAAAUCCUAUCGGCUUCCAAUAACAUUGUGUCUCGUGCUUAUCAGACUGUGGUUUGACUAUUUUCAGUUGAUCUAGGCUGGACCAUGUUGCUCCACGGUGUGAGACUGGAGAACUUUGCUCCAGGAUUUCAGUCUUUUCUAUGUGUGUUUAUUUUAGAGGGCAGGCUGAUGGAGAAGAAGCUACCUGGGUAUGCUCUUCUUAUUGAGAGUGACAGUACAGGAGGCAAAAGCCUAACCACACAAGCAAAUUAAAACCUCAACUCACUUCAUAGCUGCUAAAAUUUCGUUGGCCAAAACAAUUCAUGUUUUAUUAAAAUAAACUGAAAACUGAAAUUAAUAAGAGGUUUUUCUUUUCUAAUGAGUUGUAUUAUAAAAUCAUACGGCAAAAUCUUUGGUUAAGACAGAGUAAAUAUUUCAAAUGAAGAUGCAAU